This 484-nucleotide ribosomal RNA is filed under the name uncultured bacterium. Its description in RNAcentral is "partial 16S ribosomal RNA". It matches the Rfam family "Bacterial small subunit ribosomal RNA", at positions 30 to 507 of the family's 1533-position model. The record is from RNAcentral.
AUUGAACGCUGGCGGCAGGCCUAACACAUGCAAGUCGAGCGGAUGAAGGGGGCUUGCUCCUGGAUUCAGCGGCGGACGGGUGAGUACUGCCUAGGAAUCUGCCUUAUCGUGGGGGAUAACGUCCGGAAACGGGCGCUAAUACCGCAUCCGUCCUGUGGGCGAAUGUGGGGGAUCUUCGGAUCUCUCGCUAUCAGAUUAGCCUAGGUCGGAUUAGCUAGUUGGUGGGGUAAUGGCCUACCAAGGCGACGAGCCGAAACUGGUCUUAGAGGAUGAUCAGUCACAUGGGCAGAGAGACACGGUCCAGACUCCUACGGUAAGCAGCAGUGGGGAAUAUUGGACAAUGGGCGAAAGCGUGAUACAGCCAUGCCGCGUGUGUGAAGAAGGACUUCGGAUGGGAAAGUACUGAAGGUCGGGAGGAAGGGAAGUAAGUUAAUACGGGGCGGUAAUGACGGUACCAACAGAAUAAGCACCGGCUAACUUCGUG